GGAGAGGUGGCAGAAUGGCUAAUGCGCCGGUCUUGAAAACCGGUGCCCGCAAGGGCUUGUGGGUUCGAGUCCCACCCUCUCCG
This 83-nucleotide transfer RNA is filed under the name Candidatus Parcubacteria bacterium. RNAcentral describes it as "tRNA-Ser". It matches the Rfam family "tRNA". Rfam says of the family: Transfer RNA (tRNA) molecules are approximately 80 nucleotides in length. Their secondary structure includes four short double-helical elements and three loops (D, anti-codon, and T loops). The record is from RNAcentral. Lineage: Bacteria; Candidatus Parcubacteria.